GGAGUUAGCCGGUGCUUCUUCUGCGAGUAACGUCACAGAUGUAAGGUAUUAACUUACACCCUUUCCUCCUCGCUGAAAGUGCUUUACAACCCGAAGGCCUUCUUCACACACGCGGCAUGGCUGCAUCAGGGUUUCCCCCAUUGUGCAAUAUUCCCCACUGCUGCCUCCCGUAGGAGUCUGGGCCGUGUCUCAGUCCCAGUGUGGCUGAUCAUCCUCUCAGACCAGCUAGGGAUCGUCGCCUAGGUGAGCCUUUACCUCACCUACUAGCUAAUCCCACCUGGGCUUAUCCAUCAGCGCAAGGCCCGAAGGUCCCCUGCUUUCCCCCGUAGGGCCGUAUGCGGUAUUAGCAGUCGUUUCCAACUGUUAUCCCCCACAAAUGGGCAAAUUCCCAGGCAUUACUCACCCGUCCGCCGCUCGUCAUCUUCAAAAGCAAGCUUUUGAAAUGUUACCGCUCGACUUGCAUGUGUUAGGCCUGCCGCUAGCGUUCAUCCUGAGCCAUAAUCAAACUCUGA
RNAcentral lists this ribosomal RNA (512 nucleotides) under uncultured bacterium. RNAcentral describes it as "partial 16S ribosomal RNA". The record is from RNAcentral.